Exaiptasia diaphana is the source of this 567-nucleotide long non-coding RNA. RefSeq lists it as uncharacterized. The transcript is spliced from 3 exons. The record is from RefSeq and is a predicted model, not a curated record. NCBI's taxonomy places the organism in Eukaryota, Metazoa, Cnidaria, Anthozoa, Actiniaria, Aiptasiidae.
GGCCAUUUACAAACACAUGGUUCGUUGCCAAGGUAAUUUAUCGUCAUGGUUACACCUACAUUUUACAUGACAACGAUAAAAGUAAAUCAAAAUYGGUCGACAGCAGUUAUUUCAGUAAAGCGAAGACUUCAUUCUUAACUGUCCUCAGGAACCAUUAAGAAUCCAGGGAGAAGAUGGGGUUACAAUUGAAGAUUAUCAUUCUAUUCUGUAUUGUCUGGACUUCGUAUCAUGCAGCUAAUGCAAGGCCGAACAGGUCUUUUCUCAGAGAAGCAGACCAAGGCAGGCCUUUGCAUUUUCACAAUCCAAUUCCAUUCAAAAGACAAGAACCUACUACCGCUCCACCAACGACGCCGUUUGACGGCGUCAUCCCAUUCAAAAGGGUAGUGAAUGAGAAAAAAAGUGGAUGGUUGGGAAACCUGAUUCCAUUUAAAAGAGAAGAUCCUUCAUCCGUCGUUCCAUUCAAAAGACGAUAAGCUGGAAUAGCAUAAGUUAUCAAGGAAAAGUAGCUKUUUAGUCAGUUAUUCAAUUUCGUCACUUGGUGCAUAAUAAAUAGCAUUAAAAUAUGAA